This is a non-coding RNA of Prunus avium (sweet cherry), 293 nucleotides long. The record is from RefSeq and is a predicted model, not a curated record. NCBI's taxonomy places the organism in Eukaryota, Viridiplantae, Streptophyta, Magnoliopsida, Rosales, Rosaceae.
AAUGGAGUGAGGGGACUGAUGUUGGAUGUGUACGAUUUCGAGAACGAUAUUUGGCUUUGCCAUUCUUUUCGGGGGCAAUGUUUCAACUUCACUGCAUUUGACUUGGCAAGCAAGUCGAUGUUUCAGUAAUUUGUUGGUUAUCUGAAGCCUGUAUUGCAAGCAUUAGUGCCUGGUAUGAAGCACUCGUUUCAAUCUCUUAAGAUGUGCCAUGUAGAAACCCGGAGAUCAUUUAUGUACCCUUUAUGUUGGUUUGUGUUUGCUUGAAUUCCAAAUACAUGAAGGGUGCUGAUAUG